This 74-nucleotide transfer RNA is filed under the name Venustaconcha ellipsiformis. RNAcentral's name for it is "tRNA-Asp". The record is from RNAcentral. Lineage: Eukaryota; Metazoa; Mollusca; Bivalvia; Unionida; Unionidae.
AAGAGAGUGCUGUGUCUUAAAAUACAGCUUUUUGAGGUUGACAACCUCACGUCUUUAACUCAGACCAACUCCCU